CCUACGGGUGGCAGCAGUGAGGAAUAUUGGUCAAUGGCCGGAAGGCUGAACCAGCCAUGCCGCGUGAAGGUCAGUGCCCUAUGGGCGUUAAACUUCUUUUGUGCGGGAGCAAUAAUGGUCACGUGUGGCCAGACGAGAGUACCGUACGAAUAAGCAUCGGCUUACCACGUGCCAGCAGCCGCGGUAAUACGGGGGAUGCAAGCGUUAUCCGGAUUUAUUGGGUUUAAAGGGGGCGUAGGCUGUGAGGUAAGUCAGCGGUGAAAUGCCCCCGCUCAACGGGGUGAAGUGCCAUUGAUACUGCCUGGCUGGAAUGCGGAUGCCGUAGGAGGAAUGUGUGGUGUAGCGGUGAAAUGCAUAGAUAUCACACAGAACACCGAUUGCGAAGGCAUCUCACGAAUCCGCGAUUGACACUGAUGCACGAAAGCGUGGGUAUCAAACAGGAUUAGAUACCCCUGUAGUC
Molecule: ribosomal RNA, 460 nt
Filed under: uncultured bacterium
Lineage: Bacteria
Description: partial 16S ribosomal RNA
Rfam family: Bacterial small subunit ribosomal RNA
Source: RNAcentral